RNAcentral lists this long non-coding RNA (1927 nucleotides) under Prunus persica (peach). RNAcentral's name for it is "long non-coding RNA (PPER_LNC002079)". The record is from RNAcentral. Lineage: Eukaryota; Viridiplantae; Streptophyta; Magnoliopsida; Rosales; Rosaceae.
GAUCAGUUCACAAUUGUAUAUCAUUUUGUACCCUUCUAGCUUAUGAUUUGGUUAUGUUAUUGAGUCAAACGUGUGCUUUUAAUCCCUUUUCUGUUUAUCAUUCAGUUCAUUGGGCCUUAGGUAGCAAUGGUGUCUUUGGAUAAGAAAAGAUGCAAAAUGGUGCAAAAACGAGCAGACUGGGUUAGCAACUCAUUUCGGCCUUAACAUCUUUCUCCGAACUUGGAUUGGCCCAAAUAAUAUGUAGUUGGAAAGAUGAGAGUCUGAACUUCAAGAUGGACUACUCAAAUGCAUCAGAUUAUGAAGUUGAGCCCAAUUCGUGAGCCCAUAUACACACCAGGUUCAGGAUUGCAGUUUCCAGUUGUUGAGCCUUGGAUACUUUCUUUGAGCCAUGUGACUCACCACAGCUUUCCUUGACUUUAGACCAGACAUGUUGAGCAAUUUAGGGAGCAAUUAAGGGAGGUGUGUCAGCUACUCAAGUGCAGAGGAAUCACUCCAUUCACCAAUAAUUCACUCCAGCCAUCCUAUAUCACUUCAUUCAGCCCAAAAUCACGAAGGAACAACUCCAACAAGCCUUCCUUCCAUUUCCUACGAAUUUGUUCUUUCUCUGCCAUCACCAACCACCCAAACUCAUCCCAAAUCACCUCUUUAGUUGCCAUACUCUAGACAUGAGAAAGUUCUUGGAGUAGCAUUAGAUGUGGAGAAGCACCUGGAGAAGCCUUGGAAACCACAAGCAACUUCAGAAUUGGGUUUCUCUACUCUUAUUGCAUUCAAUAUGUUUUCUCAUUUUUGCUUAAGUUCCAUUUCCAUUAUGAGUAGCUAAAUUCAUAACUAGGGCUAUGAUGUAACCUAACAUGAAUAUUCUGGGUUUAUAAGUUGAAGUUUUGAGUUUCAAGUUUGAUUCAUGAUUCAUAUUCCUAUUCUUUAUGCUUAUCAGUUAAUAUGCUUGUUUGGAUGAUUGAUCACCAUUAGAACUUGUAUAUUAGCUACCUUGGUUUGAAUCAAGAGUAGACACCAUGCUUUGAUUUGAAUUGAACUAUGAAUAAGAAAAGUAUGUAUGGACAUUCGACAACAGGGAUUAGAUACAUGCUUGGUUGUUUAAAUUGUUCUUCUAUGCUUAAUGGGUUCCUAAUGCUUAAUUUAGAUUAGACAACAAAUGAUCAAGUUAGGGAAUUAGGAGCACAAGGUUAGGACCAGACACCAUGGCCUAAUCAUACUUUAGCUAGAAUCAAUCUUUGAAUCCGAAUGAGACUUGUCACUUGACUCCUUAUAACCCAGAAUUGAAUUGUUAUGGUGAAUCGAAUGCCCUAGUCUCCCAAUCUGUUUUCCAGCCUACAAAAGUACUCUUUGUUACAUUUGUUCACUUUGCUUUUGUUUGAAAUUUCGUUUUGCCUCAUUUGUUCAACAAUUACAAUCACUCUUGCUUUAAAUUCUAUUUUAGACUUAACCUCCUACUUUCUUGAAUUUGGUAAUCUAAGUACAUAACUAAUUUUAACUUCUCAGUCCUCGUGGGUACGACCUCGUACUUGUCUUGCCAUACUACUAAUUGGCCCGUACAAUUGCGAGUUAACAUUUUAACAAACACUCCCACCUUUCCUUUUGGAAUAUAACCAAGUGAAAGAGUUGAAUUGUCACCAAGUGAAGUCUUCUUCAAAAGAAAUCUAAAAGAAAAGGUGGUGUGUCAACGUAAAAGAGUUGAAUUGUCACUUUGUCCGAUAAUCAGCUUGUGGCUUACAAUCAAUCAUUCCACUUGUUUCACAAGAAGCAUCCAUUAACUAUUUGAUGAAUACGACAUCUUUCAGGGAAUCUAGGAUGUCCCACAAGUUUACCUUUCAAACUAUAAAGUCCUAAACUUUAUAACAAUUUCAAUCUCAUUACCAUUCAAUUGGACUUAUCAAAUAUUUUGUUAUGCUUGGGGUUACAGCGUAAG